RNAcentral lists this long non-coding RNA (1945 nucleotides) under Nicotiana benthamiana. RNAcentral's name for it is "long non-coding RNA (NBEN_LNC007634)". The record is from RNAcentral. Lineage: Eukaryota; Viridiplantae; Streptophyta; Magnoliopsida; Solanales; Solanaceae.
UUUCCUACAAAGAUAGAAACACAGUAAAAGAAAGAAAAAUGUAUUUAGUUUGUGGAAAAGAAUUUUGUUUCUAAUAAAGACGAAAUUGGAUUCGGGCAAUUGAUUGGAACAGAUUCUGCAAAAAUCUUCCGCUGUUAUUAACAGGUACACAAAUUCAGUGUCCUUGUUAUUCGAAUUUAACUGACAAUGGUAUCAAAGCCAGUGAUAUUAUUUUUUGGUUUAUAUCUUCUCCGUAGAUGCUAUUUUUUUUAUAACUGUUACAUCAAUUUUCUUUGGCACUGUCGCAGUAAUAGGUAGAAAACAUCAUGUUUGAUAACGAUUUUAGAAUUGUCAAUCCUUUCUGGAAAGGGAACAAAGUUCGUUUUGUAGUAUAACUAAUUACCAAUUAGUUUGUUGACGUCAAACAAUUAGUUUUUGGCUAAUGUCUAAUCUAUUAUUCAUACCAGAAGUUUUCUUGUAUAAGUUUAAAUUUGGCUUGGAACGCCCCGGUGCCAAGUGGGCAUGUCUCUUACGAUAAGGGCGAUCCAAGUAAGAGAACGACCCAAAUUGGUAAAGAAGAAGUGAAAUCGUUUAGUGCCUGACAUUUUUUACUGAGUGGAAGCCACCAACUUUUGUAUUUUAUUUUGAUUAUUUCGAGGAAUGUAUCCUACUAUAUAAAUGAGACUUUCACGUUGUAAUAGGAACCAUUGUGAUUCUCGGAUAAUACAACUUCUCUCUCUAUCUCUUUCUCUCUCUCUUGGUCUUCCAACUAUUGCUAUUCUCUUAAGCUAAGUCUACUUUUCCGUACAUUUACAGAUCUACAAACAUCUUGAAGUGAUAAUCAUCUGUUGAGCUUAUUAUAUUUGAUUACGAUUUACCCUUAUAUAUUUUCGAUUAUUUUUAAGCUUAUAAAGUACGAAUAUAAUUUUUGAGCUAAACAAUACUUAUAUUUGUUUUAACCUUCUUUGCCUAUUAUGGUGCUUUAAUUUGAGCAGAAGUGGCCUAGCACCAUGUUAUAUUUGUUUUAACCUUCUUUGCCAAUUUUAAUUUUAACAGAAGAGCCUAGCACCAUGUUAUAUCAUAGAAAGCGUAAGUUAAUAUUUUCUGUGAAUUUUUUCUUGACAUUCACAGAAUGUAGUGAUGAAUUCUUUUGUUGCUAACAAGAAAUAAUUAAAUUUGGAAAAUUGUCACAUAUAUUUCCAGGAAGUUUUCAUAAAGAUUGUUAUUUGUUAGACCAAUCUGUUUAAGUAAUGGCUGGUUAAAUAUAAUUGGUGGAAUAGAGCUUAUAAGCUUAUUAUCUUGCAAGUCUAUGGAAGUCAGGCAAAAAGGUCUACUGAUUUCUUGAGGAAUUUCUCCAACAAGUAAAUUGCUUCAUAGUCUUAAAUACCUUUUGUUAUAUCAAAAAGGGGAGAAGGGAAAUUACCUGAAAAUUGGUUAAACAAAGUACACGGAAUGGAAGUUUAGUAAUCUUAAUGUCUAUCAUUGUCCAUUUCAUUGAAUUAAAAUUAGUUUAGUAAUCUCUCAAUUGAUAUCCUUCUACAAGUAGUUGUGAUAUAUGUCGUCACAUUAAGUGGUUGUAGUCAUUCUUAUUGUUUCCUUGGUCCUUUUCAGAUAUGACCGAACAGAAACAAGUUCGAAUUACUCCAAGUGGAAAUUGUCGAAAUCAAGGGAGGGGACAACGUAGAAGGAUACGUCGUCGCAUAACUUAUUUUUAUAUUAAUUCAAACUCUGAGCCUGAAGUCAUCAGGAAUGUCCCAAGCGUGAGGCAAAAUGAGUUAAGGAAUCAAAAGGCUGAACAAAAGGAAAGAGAAAAGAAAUUUAGGGAGUUUAAGAAUUUAAAAUGGGCUUUAAUGCUUCCGUCCCUGUACACCCUUUUAAGAUAAAAAGAGCUGAAUUUGCUAAUUACAAAGUAAUACUGAUUGGGAUGCAUUAGCUAUUUUAGUGGUCUCUCUUCGAGAGCCUUGGG